Long non-coding RNA from Oreochromis niloticus (Nile tilapia), 1239 nucleotides. RefSeq lists it as uncharacterized. The transcript has 3 exons. The record is from RefSeq and is a predicted model, not a curated record. NCBI's taxonomy places the organism in Eukaryota, Metazoa, Chordata, Actinopteri, Cichliformes, Cichlidae.
AGAGCCCGUUUGUUUUCACAGCAGCACAACGGACAACACAGCUCGGCCUCACAGGCAGUGACACGUACCGACGCGUGGGUGCGUGGAUCGAGCACAGAAAGCGAAACCCCGUAACGGUGCGUGUUCCGCUUUAGGAAAAACCACGUGACCGGCCCGUAAACUGUGUUUCGUCCUGUGAGGGUAGAGUGGGUUUGAUGACGUAGUGCUGUGGCACAAUGUUCCUCGUGGGUCACAAGGAGAAAUCAGCAGGUGUCGCUCUCCACGAGGCGCCACGGAGAUGACGGCUGGUUUUUGGAGGUCUUUUUUCUGCCAGUAGAGGGCAGUGAGCGUCAUGGGCUAAACAGGGACAUUUCCAGGGACAAACGACGAAGCAGCAAAGAAAAUGGGCGCACAGAAACAAAGCUGUGAACAGACCCAGCAGUGUCACUACUCGCUGUUGUAAUGUGUCGCAUAAAAACGAUGCCACGGAACUGACCCCGCGCGACCCUUUAUUGUGGGAGCCCUCUGAUACCCCCUGUUGAAGCUCCCCGGAUUAAAGACACAUCUGCACCUGUGAGGAGCAGAAACCUCAGACUGGAGGAGACGCCUUAGAGAAGGAGGAGGUGCAGGGAGAGCACAUCCUGCAGUUUGGGAAUUAAAGGAUCAUCUUUCUUCUGGAGAAUGAUGCCGUGUGGUGAAUGGACGGGUUCUACUCUGCUCCAGCACUCAGAGCACCUUCUACACCCUCGGUGUGUUUAGAGUGUUUUAUAUCUAAGUUCACACUCAGAGGUCAGAGGUCAGGAUCUUGUAAAGUGUAUUGUGCAUAAAGAGAAGCUUCCUGAUGCAAAACACUGUCUUCCUUUCUUAUUUCAUUCAAUUACCACAAGUAAAACUGCUGGUUUUUAAGUGUUAUAGGUGCGAUGAAUAAAGUUAUUUUAUAGGAUUUCUGUGAAACGUUUUCAAAGUCUUGUUGGUGUCUGUCAGAUCAGAUUAACUGAUACAUGAAGCUGUUUCAGUCAUUUACAAACCCCAGUUUUUACAGUUUUAUCUCCUCAGUGUUACAUCACAGCUUCAGUGUGUGUGUGUGUGUGUGUGUGUGUGUGAGUGACUUUAAAGUUAUGCCUCAGGUGUGAAGCAGAUUCCCACUGUGGGGUUAAAGGUGUGUUUUCUUUGUUCUUCCUUGUUAAUCACUGUUUGUCAUCAGUGAUUUGGAUUUUUGUCUCUGAAUGUAUGUUUGUAAUUAAAAUGGUUUUCUGAUCA